Long non-coding RNA from Pollicipes pollicipes, 270 nucleotides. RefSeq lists it as uncharacterized. Lineage: Eukaryota; Metazoa; Arthropoda; Thecostraca; Pollicipedomorpha; Pollicipedidae. The transcript has 3 exons. The record is from RefSeq and is a predicted model, not a curated record.
CUCUGUGCACGGUGAUUCGACGGUUAUAAAGAGUGUACGAGGUUGAGGGCGAGCGGCGGUGCUGCCUGCCGGCACGGCAUUGAUUAGACAGCUGGAGCGGCCAGCGCGGCGGCCAGCCAUGACUGGCUCUGGCGACGCGCCGGCCCAGCUCAACGAGCUCUCGUCCGACAUCGACACCCUCUCCGAGAAUCUGUUGGUGACCCAACAGAAGAACCAAAGCCCAUCCUUCACCAUAUCCUGCAUCCUGCAAAAUGUGAUCUACAGGAGAUG